CUGAUGUUAGCGGCGGACGGGUGAGUAACACGUGGGUAACCUACCUAUAAGACUGGGAUAACUCCGGGAAACCGGGGCUAAUACCGGAUAAUAUUUUGAACCGCAUGGUUCAAUAGUGAAAGACGGUCUCGGCUGUCACUUAUAGAUGGACCCGCGCCGUAUUAGCUAGUUGGUAAGGUAACGGCUUACCAAGGCGACGAUACGUAGCCGACCUGAGAGGGUGAUCGGCCACACUGGAACUGAGACACGGUCCAGACUCCUACGGGAGGCAGCAGCG
Molecule: ribosomal RNA, 277 nt
Filed under: uncultured Staphylococcus sp.
Lineage: Bacteria; Bacillati; Bacillota; Bacilli; Caryophanales; Staphylococcaceae
Description: partial 16S ribosomal RNA
Rfam family: Bacterial small subunit ribosomal RNA
Source: RNAcentral